Xenia sp. Carnegie-2017 is the source of this 173-nucleotide long non-coding RNA. RefSeq lists it as uncharacterized. The transcript has 2 exons. NCBI's taxonomy places the organism in Eukaryota, Metazoa, Cnidaria, Anthozoa, Malacalcyonacea, Xeniidae. The record is from RefSeq and is a predicted model, not a curated record.
GUUUGCAACAUCAAAAGUUCGAAGCAAGGAAAUCGAUCAACAGGGCUCAGUCACUCAGUACUAUGCUUAGUACUUUUUUAAAUAUCUAUCGGAGAAGUCUGGCUGGGAGAAUGGAAGAAAUUCAGACGCUCAAAUGACUUCUUUUACAAUAACGUGGAGAAGAAAGGAAACAC